AGCGGCGGACGGGUGAGUAAUGCUUAGGAAUCUGCCAUUUAGUGGGGGACAACAUUCCGAAAGGAAUGCUAAUACCGCAUACGUCCUACGGGAGAAAGCAGGGGAUCUUCGGACCUUGCGCUAAAUGAUGAGCCUAAGUCGGAUUAGCUAGUUGGUGGGGUAAAGGCCUACCAAGGCGACGAUCUGUAGCGGGUCUGAGAGGAUGAUCCGCCACACUGGGACUGAGACACGGCCCAGACUCCUACGGGAGGCAGCAGUGGGGAAUAUUGGACAAUGGGCGGAAGCCUGAUCCAGCCAUGCCGCGUGUGUGAAGAAGGCCUUUUGGUUGUAAAGCACUUUAAGCGAGGAGGAGGCUACCUAGAUUAAUACUCUGGGAUAGUGGACGUUACUCGCGGAAUAAGCACCGGCUAACUCUGUGCCAGCAGCCGCGGUAAUACAGAGGGUGCGAGCGUUAAUCAGAUUUACUGGGCGUAAAGCGUGCGUAGGCGGCUUUUUAAGUCGGAUGUGAAAUCCCCGAGCUUAACUUGGGAAUUGCAUUCGAUACUGGGAAGCUAGAGUAUGGGAGAGGAUGGUAGAAUUCCAGGUGUAGCGGUGAAAUGCGUAGAGAUCUGGAGGAAUACCGAUGGCGAAGGCAGCCAUCUGGCCUAAUACUGACGCUGAGGUACGAAAGCAUGGGGAGCAAACAGGAUUAGAUACCCUGGUAGUCCAUGCCGUAAACGAUGUCUACUAGC
RNAcentral lists this ribosomal RNA (731 nucleotides) under uncultured bacterium. RNAcentral describes it as "bacterial SSU rRNA". It matches the Rfam family "Bacterial small subunit ribosomal RNA", at positions 94 to 820 of the family's 1533-position model. The record is from RNAcentral.